UUCUAUCUCUAUUCACGAUAGACACACACAGAGACCAUAUCAUGUCAAUGCAUUUUCUAUCGUUUUCGGUGAAGAGCGCUGCAAUGAACCCCCACGACGUGCCCCUCACCUCCAUCUCACUCGCACCCUCUCUUCUCUAUUUUCUUUUCUCCGACUAGAUGACAACGGCGGGCCACUGCCGUCUCAUCCCUAGCAGCGCGACCAUCACCGCCGCCCCCUUGAAUCCUAGAUCCCCAAAAUUGCCGCAGCUGUCUAUUGUUUCUUAUCCGGCAAACUAACACUCCUCUCUGGCCGAAUCCUUCAUCCCUCAAAUCGAUAAAUCUCAACACCGAAAUUGAAGCUCAAAUCGAUAGGUCUCAGCGUCGUCGCCCUCUUGUCUCCCUUAAGUAACCCUGCCUCCCUCAAGUAACUGUUGCCGCCCUCUUGCAUCCCUCAAGCAAUCAUUGUCGUCCUUUAUCCUCUUUU
RNAcentral lists this long non-coding RNA (465 nucleotides) under Salvia miltiorrhiza (redroot sage). RNAcentral's name for it is "long non-coding RNA (SMIL_LNC001926)". The record is from RNAcentral. Lineage: Eukaryota; Viridiplantae; Streptophyta; Magnoliopsida; Lamiales; Lamiaceae.